UGGGGAAUUUUGGACAAUGGGGGAAACCCUGAUCCAGCCAUCCCGCGUGUGCGAUGAAGGCCUUCGGGUUGUAAAGCACUUUUGGCAGGAAAGAAACGUCAUGGGUUAAUACCCCGUGAAACUGACGGUACCUGCAGACUAAGCACCGGCUAACUACGUGCCAGCAGCCGCGGUAAUACGUAGGGUGCAAGCGUUAAUCGGAAUUACUGAGCGUAAAGCGUGCGCAGGCUGUUCGGAAAGAAAGAUGUGAACUCCCAGAGCUCAACUUUGGAACUGCAUUUUUAACUACCGAGCUAGAGUGUGUCAGAGGGAGGUGGAAUUGCGCGUGUAGCAGUGAAAUGCGUAGAUAUGCGGAGGAACACCGAUGGCGAAGGCAGCCUCCUGGGAUAACACUGACGCUCAUGCACGAAAGCGUGGGGAGCAAACAGG
RNAcentral lists this ribosomal RNA (429 nucleotides) under Acidobacteriota bacterium. RNAcentral describes it as "Acidobacteria bacterium partial 16S ribosomal RNA". It matches the Rfam family "Bacterial small subunit ribosomal RNA", at positions 355 to 776 of the family's 1533-position model. The record is from RNAcentral. Lineage: Bacteria; Pseudomonadati; Acidobacteriota.